Oncorhynchus tshawytscha (Chinook salmon) is the source of this 462-nucleotide long non-coding RNA. NCBI's taxonomy places the organism in Eukaryota, Metazoa, Chordata, Actinopteri, Salmoniformes, Salmonidae. The record is from Ensembl.
CCCUCUUCCCUAUAUAGUGCACUGCUUUGGAGGGGAAGAAAGGUUAACCAUUUUUCAGGAUGCUCUCUUAUCUGUUUCAACAAAAUGACCAUCAGUCUGAUGUCCCCCACUGAGAGACUGUCCUUCCAUCAGUCUGAUGUCCCCCCACUGAGAGACUGUCCUUCCAUCAGUCUGAUGUCCCCCACUGAGAGACUGUCCUUCCAUCAGUCUGAUGUCCCCCCACUGAGAGACUGUCCUUCCAUCAGUCUGAUGUCCCCCACUGAGAGUCCUUCCAUCAGUCUGAUGUCCCCCCCCCACUGAGAGGCAGUCCUUCCAUCACUCUGAUGUCCCCCCACUGAGAGACAGUCCUUCCAUCAGUCUGAUGUCCCCCCACUGAGAGACAGUCCUUCCAUCAGUCUGAUGUCCCCCCACUGAGAGGCAGUCUGAUGUCCCCCCACUGAGAGGCAGUCUGAUGUCCCCCCC